RNAcentral lists this ribosomal RNA (253 nucleotides) under uncultured bacterium. RNAcentral's name for it is "partial 16S ribosomal RNA". It matches the Rfam family "Bacterial small subunit ribosomal RNA", at positions 524 to 776 of the family's 1533-position model. The record is from RNAcentral.
UACGUAGGGUGCAAGCGUUGUCCGGAAUUAUUGGGCGUAAAGAGUUCGUAGGCGGUUUGUCGCGUCCGUUGUGAAAUCCCGAGGCUCAACCUCGGGCUUGCAGUGGGUACGGGCAGACUAGAGUGCGGUAGGGGAGAUUGGAAUUCCUGGUGUAGCGGUGGAAUGCGCAGAUAUCAGGAGGAACACCGAUGGCGAAGGCAGAUCUCUGGGCCGUAACUGACGCUGAGGAGCGAAAGCAUGGGGAGCGAACAGG